GUAGUAAAAAUAAUAAAGCAUUAAAUGGAUGCCUAGAAUUUAAAUUUUUUCGUAAACAAAUUUACGAUAUCUAUUUAGUAAAUAAUAUAUUGAUAUUUUUAUUUAUUUGCAAUUAAUAGAUUAAAAAUUAAUUUAACGAAGUGAAACAUCACAGUAGUUAUUUUUAAAAACUCAAUUGAGAGUAGUAUAGUGGUGAGCUUAUACUAUAAGUUUUAUUUUUAUAUAAAAUUGAAAAUUUUAGAAUAAAUUACCAAAGUAGGUGAAAGUCCAGUAAAUUUUU
Molecule: ribosomal RNA, 280 nt
Filed under: Tetrahymena pyriformis
Lineage: Eukaryota; Ciliophora; Oligohymenophorea; Hymenostomatida; Tetrahymenidae
Description: large subunit ribosomal RNA
Source: RNAcentral